UAGUCCACGCUGUAAACGAUGAUUACUCGCUGUUGGCGAUACACUGUCAGCGGCUAAGCGAAAGUGAUGAGUAAUCCACCUGGGGAGUACGUUCGCAAGAAUGAAACUCAAAGGAAUUGACGGGGGCCCGCACAAGCGGUGGAGCAUGUGGUUUAAUUCGAUGAUACGCGAGGAACCUUACCAGGGCUUAAAUGUAGAGUGACCGAUUUGGAAACAAGUCUUCUCUUUGAGUAGUCUACAAGGUGCUGCAUGGUUGUCGUCAGCUCGUGCCGUGAGGUGUCGGGUUAAGUCCCUUAACGAGCGCAACCCCUAUCUCUAGUUGCCAGCGGAUAAUGCCGGGGACUCUAGAGAAACUGCCCGUGCAAACGGUGAGGAAGGUGGGGAUGACGUCAAAUCAUCACGGCCCUUACGUCCUGGGCUACACACGUGCUACAAUGGCCGGUACAGAGGGCAGCUACCACGUGAGUGGAUGCAAAUCUCGAAAGCCGGUCUCAGUUCGGAUUG
Molecule: ribosomal RNA, 504 nt
Filed under: uncultured bacterium
Lineage: Bacteria
Description: bacterial SSU rRNA
Rfam family: Bacterial small subunit ribosomal RNA
Source: RNAcentral